This 448-nucleotide ribosomal RNA is filed under the name uncultured bacterium. Its description in RNAcentral is "partial 16S ribosomal RNA". It matches the Rfam family "Bacterial small subunit ribosomal RNA", at positions 329 to 793 of the family's 1533-position model. The record is from RNAcentral.
GUCCAGACUCCUACGGGAGGCAGCAGUGGGGGAUAUUGCACAAUGGGGGGAACCCUGAUGCAGCGACGCCGCGUGGGUGAAGGAGUAUUUCGGUAUGUAAAGCCCUAUCGGCAGGGAAGAAGCAAGACGGUACCUGACUAAGAAGCCCCGGCUAACUACGUGCCAGCAGCCGCGGUAAUACGUAGGGGGCAAGCGUUAUCCGGAUUCACUGGGUGUAAAGGGAGCGUAGACGGCGGCGCAAGUCUGGAGUGAAAGCCCGGGGCCCAACCCCGGGACUGCUCUGGAAACUGCGGCGCUGGAGUACGGGAGGGGCAGGCGGAAUUCCUGGUGUAGCGGUGAAAUGCGUAGAUAUCAGGAGGAACACCGGCGGCGAAGGCGGCCUGCUGGACCGUGACUGACGUUGAGGCUCGAGAGCGUGGGGAGCAAACAGGAUUAGAUACCCUCGUAC